Molecule: long non-coding RNA, 370 nt
Organism: Asparagus officinalis (garden asparagus)
Lineage: Eukaryota; Viridiplantae; Streptophyta; Magnoliopsida; Asparagales; Asparagaceae
Exons: 2
Source: RefSeq, a predicted model, not a curated record
GAUUAAUUUGUCAUGUGAUUUGCAGCUAAACGAAAAUAUGUCUGGAUUCUUGAGCUCCACAUGCAUGGAUUUGUUCAUGUGGCAGUUUAGCUUUCACAUGCACGUGGGUGGUUCGAGCAAUUGUGGCAAUUUGAAAAAAAUCCAAGCAUGAAGUCUGAAUGUAUCAACAAUGAGUUUUGUUGUAACUAUUUCUAUUUUGAAACAAGAAAAUGUCUCUAAUUUGUGAGAGUUAUUGGAUGUAUUAUAUUAUGGUCGAUACAUUUGUGCUGCAUAUGUGUUUAUCAUUUGCUACAUUUGUGCUGAUGUAUUCAGGCAAUCUUAGCUACAUUUGAACUGUGCCUGCAUUUGAUCAAAGAACUGGUUUAUAAGU